GACGAACGCUGGCGGCGUGCCUAACACAUGCAAGUUGAGCGACGAACCAGGGCUUGCCCUGGGGCAAAGCAGCGAACGGGUGAGUAACACGUGGGUAACCUACCCCGAUAACCGGGACAACCCGAGGAAACUCGGGCUAAUACCGGAUGUGCUCACUGGACUUCGGUUCAGUGCGUAAAGGAAGCUUCGGCCUCCGUAUCGGGAGGGGCCCGCGGCCCAUUAGUUUGUUGGUGAGGUAACGGCUCACCAAGACCGCGAUGGGUAGCUGGUCUGAGAGGACGAUCAGCCACACUGGGACUGAGACACGGCCCAGACUCCUACGGGAGGCAGCAGUGGGGAAUCUUGCGCAAUGCGCGAAAGCGUGACGCAGCAACGCCGCGUGGGGGAAGAAGGCCUUCGGGUUGUAAACCCCUUUCAGGAGGGACGAAGGUUCGGCGGUGAAUAGCCGCCCGGACUGACGGUACCUCCACAAGAAGCCCCGGCUAACUACGUG
This 493-nucleotide ribosomal RNA is filed under the name uncultured bacterium. RNAcentral's name for it is "partial 16S ribosomal RNA". It matches the Rfam family "Bacterial small subunit ribosomal RNA", at positions 28 to 507 of the family's 1533-position model. The record is from RNAcentral.